AUGCUCAACAUUGGGGCUGUGCUGCUGUUACUAAUUGGUGUGACGGAUGGUGUGAAGACCUUCUGCAACGCCACACAGCCACACAUCACGACCCAGUGCUUUGGCUCUCUGGGAGGAACCGUGGAGGUCCUGCUCGUGCUGCCUACUCAGUCCUCACAAAAUGAUACCUUCAGACUGAAGAACAACAAUGUCACGAUUUUAUCAGAACGCAAUCAGACAAACAUUCGAUAUUCAUUUAAUGUCAGUACUGGAAUAUUUACUAUAAAGGACAUCGACAGGACAGACAAUGAUGAAUACUCAAUGGAAGUACAUAAUGCAUCUGGAAACCAAGUAGCAUUUACGAAAUGUUAUUUAACCAUUGAAGCCCCGGCCUCCUCUCCCCUCCUGUCCCGGCAGUGUCUGUCCCGGGGACAGCAGAGGGUGUCCUGCUCUGCCGGGGGGGACGGACUCCACUACAGCUGGAGUCCAGACGGACUCCCGCUGAACGACACGCGUGUCCACUCCGGACCCGGUAACGCUAGUGACGUCACUCUGGAGGUGGGCUGGGCGGGACUGGUCACCUGCUCGGUCAGCAACAACGUGAGCCACGCCGCGGCUAACAUCACCUUGUCUGUGUGUGACGGGUUCAUUUAUGUGAACUGCACAUCUAAUGGAACACAUAUAUCACAGUGGGUGCACGGAGACAACAAUACCUUAUGCCCUGAGGCAGCGGUCACUGUGGGACCCACAGACGAUGUCAAUACAACGGGGUUAAUAUAUGUAAACUGCACAUCUAAUGGAACACAUAUACGACAGUGGGUGCACAGAGACAACAAUACCUUAUGCACUGAGACAGCUGUGGCAUCCUUCAACUUCAAUAUAAUGGAGCUCGUCCCUAUAAUAGCUGGUUCCCUGUCAGCGAUAGCACUGCUCCUGAUAGUAGUAUUGGGAGUCUACUGCGCAAAAAAGCACAAAACCUCAAAAGACACCACAGAGGCGGAGGAUGUAACCUACGCAGACAUCUCUGUGCUCCAGCGUCAGGGGCAGCGGAGAGAGCAGGGGGCGGG
Molecule: long non-coding RNA, 1046 nt
Filed under: Gadus morhua (Atlantic cod)
Lineage: Eukaryota; Metazoa; Chordata; Actinopteri; Gadiformes; Gadidae
Description: lncRNA (ENSGMOG00000031537.1)
Source: RNAcentral